GGACCAAUGAUUACUUACAAAAACAAAUCUUGUUGUAAUCUGAACAAAAUGAGUGACCAAACCACUUCUGUGAGCUAAGGUUC
This 83-nucleotide small nucleolar RNA is filed under the name Urocitellus parryii (Arctic ground squirrel). RNAcentral's name for it is "Small nucleolar RNA SNORD116 (ENSUPAG00010005720.1)". It matches the Rfam family "Small nucleolar RNA SNORD116". Rfam says of the family: HBII-85 is a member of the C/D class of snoRNAs, which contain the C (UGAUGA) and D (CUGA) box motifs. Lineage: Eukaryota; Metazoa; Chordata; Mammalia; Rodentia; Sciuridae. RNAcentral also lists the same sequence under 1 other name. The record is from Rfam by way of RNAcentral.